ACCUCCUUUUCCUCCUUAUAACGAGAUGGUGGAAGACUGGUCUGAUUACGAAAAACGCCUUCGACAACACUUUUGGCAUUUCAUGCUGCGGACGAACAAACAUGUAAGUCUCUGUUCCUUUCAUGGAUUUCACCUAAAAUGUAUCGGUUGUUGUCGCAAUUGGCUCCUUUGAAAGAUCCUGCGUCUUGGUCCGUUGUUGAAAUGUGCUCACUUCUGUCUGUCUAUUUUCAAAAGCAAACACAUGUGGUAGCCUCUUGUGCUGCCUUUUAUUGUUGUCAAAAACAACCGAAUCAAUCCUAUCACGCUUGGGCUGCUGAACUUAAUGGCCUCAGUAGAAAAUGUCAAUUUGUUACUGACAUCUCACAAAGAAUCCUAUGCUAAUUCCAUGGUACGGGAUGCUAUUAUCCGAUCGGCGCCCGACAAAGAAGUUAGGCAACGUGCCCUUCAGUUGGCAAAUCCGACUCUAGAUGAAGUCUUAUCCAUCGCUCAGUCUUUUGAAAUUUCUCGCGCCACUGGAGCGCAAAUAGAAGCAUGGGGCGACAUCGGGGAAAUACAACCUCUGUGCGAUGUUGACAAAGCGUAUGGCGUGUCCCCGCAGGCCGACAUGGGCGCAGUAUGCUCCCAAGCAUAGCCUCAGCCUAACCGUAAACAAACCUCUAAGAAACUGCAGCAAAACCCACGGCAACUUCCUUCAUGUCCGCGGUGUUUUAUGAAACAUUCACGAGAAGUUUGUCCACAACAUUGGGCCGUGUGUCACAAAUUAAAAAAAAAGGGUCAUGUGUCAUUCAUUUGCAAGUCCGACCGCAUACAUGAUGUUCAUGAACAUGACGCUGAUUCUGAUUCCGUGUUGUCUGUCAAUUGUACUUCUUCCUUUUCAGGGAAGUUAUUCCUCACUGUCCAAAUAUUUGGUGAAGAUGUUCGCAUGCAGGUGGAUACUGCUUCUGCUGCCACUAUCAUCAAUUCUCAGACGUAUCUUCAGUUCGGUUCUCCAAUCCUGUCACCUGUUAAUAGGGAAUGGGACAGUUUGAUGCUGAGGUAUCUUACAAAUCUGUCGUUCGCACUGUUCCCAUAUUUGUGGUCGACCAUAGUAACACGGAGAAUCUUUUUGGUUCCAAUGCCUUUCGCGUUUUUGUGUUCUCCAUAGAUGACUGUCAGUAUCGUCUCUGAUGCUAUUCCUUAUGCUCAAUUGGAUUCCUUGUCGACAACAUUUUCAUCCCUUUUUUCUCCUGGGUUAGGCCUUGCAAAUGACUUUGAAGCUCAUAUCACGCUCAAACCCACUGAUCGGUCUAAGUUUUUUUGGGCUUGGCCCAUUCCUGUGGCCCUUUGUGAUCAGGUCAAACGGGAGCUGGAUCAUCUCACUGCUUUAGGGGUCUUGCUUCCUGUCACUUCCAGUGAGUGGUCCUCUCCUGUUGUCGUUGCUAAGCCAAAUGGUGAUUUUCGUCUCUGUGGCAAUUUCAAAGCCACUGUAAAUGCUCAAUGCCUUACCGACACUUACCCUAUGCCUCGACCUGAAGAAUUGUUCACUAAACUUGCUGGAGGCCAGUAUUUUUCUAAACUUGACCUGUCAGAAGCAUAUCAUCAACUGCCUCUCGACACUGCUUCUCGGCAGUUUCUGGUCCUUAACAUGCCUUUCGGCCUCUAUCAAUACCAACGAUUGCCAUUCGGGGCUGCCAGUGCCCCUGCUCUCUUUCAGCGACUCUUGGAACAAUUAUUGCCCUCUGUCCCUGUGUGUAUAAAUUACCAGGACGACAUUAUUGUCACUGGCUCCACCACCGACGAACAUCUUCAAAUUCUCCGCACACUUUUUCAUGUCUUUCAGAUUCCCGGUCUUAAGUGUGAGCUUUAGAAAUCAGAGUUUUUUCAGGCCUCUAUAACGUACUUGGGGUUUCAACUCUCGGAAUGGUGUUCGUCUGCUUCAGCAAACUGUCGCUGGGAUCAAUGCCCUUCCUUGCCCUACAUCUGUUAAGGAACUGCAGGCCUUCUUGGGAAAAAUAGCAUACUAUCACAAGUUUUUACCAUCUGCUGCUUCGGUGGCUAAGCCGUCGCAUUGCCUGUUGCAUAAAAACGUGCCUUUUCACUGGCCCGCGUCAUGCGAUGCGGCUUUCCAGAAAUUGAAGACCAUGCUGAAACAGGCCCCGUGCCUAGCUACUUAUCGACCUAGCCAAUGUCUUGUUCUUGCCACAGACCCCUCUCAAUACAGGGUCGGUGCAGUCCUUGCACACCGUUUUUCUGACGGUUCUGAACAACCCAUUGCUUAUGCCUCCAAAACGCUCACAGAUGCCCAACAAAAGUAUUCUCAGAUUGAAAAAGAAGCUUUGGCCAUUCUUUAUGCUCUUCAUAACUUUGGUGUUUUUCUCUAUGGAUCCAAAUUUCAUCUUGUUCUUUCCUUGUUUAAUCCAUCAACGUCACUUCCCGACAAGGCUGCACACCGCUUCCAGCGUUGGGCUCUUUACUUGUCUCGUUUCAAUUAUGAAAUUCAUUUCCGACCAACGGCUCAACAUACAAAUGCUGAUGCACUGUCUCGCCUUCCCAUGGGUCCUGGUCUGGCAUUCGAUAGGGACGAACUUUUGUGUUUCCACCUGGAUGUUGCCGAGCAGCGGGUUGUGGAUGGGUUCCCCAUCACCGGGGACUGGCUGGCGGCUGCUACAGGUUCUGACUCUACCCUCUCCCGGGUUUUACACUGUAUUCAGAAGGGUUGGCCAGAUCGUCCGUACUCUAAGACUUCUGAUCCAUUGCGGAACUACUACGCUUUGCGUUACUGCCUCCCGGCUAGGGAUGGUGUUCUCCUCCUUUCCACCAAAAAUGCUUCGCUGCGUGUUGUGGUACCUGCGUCUUUGCAUGCUUUGGUCUUGCACCUCAUUCACCAAGGGCACUGGGGUGACCCUCACACAAAAUCUCUGGCGCGCCGUCAUGUGUACUGGUCUGGCAUCAACUCUGAAAUUGCGCACAUGGUCGCUGCUUGCAUGCGGCCCUUGUGCGUCACAGGCCGCCGUCCCGAAGUCAUCUUUGCUACAUGGCCUUCGCCUGAGUAGCCCUGGGAGCAUAUUGAUGCUGACUUCGCAGGACCUUUUUUAGGUGCUUAUUGGCUUCUCAUUAUUGACGCCUACUCUAACUUUCCUUUCAUUGUCCGUUGCACGUCGCCUACCACUGUGACAACCACCAAUGCUCUAGGAAGGCCUUCCCUCUAGUCUUGUUAUUGAUAAUGGUUCACAAUUUGCCUCUUCCGAUUUUGCGGAUUUUUGUGCCCGUCACGCGUCAUGCAUGUCACGGCCUCUCCGUUCCAUCCACAGUCAAACGGUGAGCCUGAACGACUGGUCCGCACAUUUAAGGCUCAGAUGAGGAAACUCCUGGCUACUUCUGCUGCUGAUGAUGCGCUUCUCCAAUUUCUGGCUUACCAUUUCACCCCCAUGGGCGACCACAGCCCGGCUGAGCUCUUACACGGUCAACAACCCCGCACGCUACUUCAUCUUCUGUGGCCUUCCACCUCACGGCCGCGGGUGCCUUCACUUGGCCGGUUCACAGCCGAUGACCUUGUAUGGGUACGGGGAUAUGGCAGGCGGCCAAAAUGGAGUCCUGGCCGCAUCUUACGACACCGUGGCCAACGCCUUUAUGAAAUCCAGAUGGAGUUGGGUGUUGCAGUGCAUCAUUCAGGCCAGCUCCGGCCUCGUGUGCCAGCGACGCCUGUUCUGGAUGCCACACCACCACCUUCGGCUCUACCUGACGCUCGGGAUACUGGGAUCUCUCAUUACUCACAACGCAGUCCUCUCACCAUCAUAUUGGUGCCAGCACAAGAACUGACACCACCAGGAGACGUGCCCAUGCAGGAACCAGAUGACCAUCAUCUGUCAGAGCAACUCUACUCGCCUCCUUCUCCUACGGACGCAGACACAUCACCCACGUCUCCUGUUAUAACAACCGGACGUGCCACAACAGGCAGAUUGGUGCACGGGGCCCCAGCAGAUUCGACCCGCACGUCUCCUGUCAUCUCGACCUGUUAUCAUUGGGGACACUUCCGUUCGUACGGGAAGCCUCUUUCUCGAGACUUUACGGCCAGUCAACAACACCUGUGGACAUUAGCAAGCUACAGGCCACCUCCAUCAAGACCUGUGCAAAAACUUCAAAGGGGGGAAUAGUGUUGUGACUCGCCGAUCUUUCAAAGUGCCGCCACACAGUUACGUGCGUCCUCUACAUGUCGCUAGACUCGGACCCAGUUAUGAUGUGACUCUUAAAGUCUUACUCUGUUUACUUGAUCUGUGACUUCAUGUAUUGCGUGUUCCUUGAAAUAUAUUUGUUCAACUUGAAGUUAUAACAGUGACUGUGUUUGUAGUUUCUGCUAUUGUUAUGAGGAGUAUUCAAUAAGUAAUGCAACAUAUUUUUUCCCUGAAAGCAGGUUGGUUUUAUUCAGGAUUCCAAUACUCCAUGUUAUUUUCUAUUCUUUUGGCUACAAAACCCUAUUUUUCGAGGCCACAUGGUAAUACUCUACUGGUCGAUGUUGGAGGCAACAUCUUGCUGCAUCAGUAACCUGCCCAUAAUACAUGUACUGCUUCCCAUGGAGUGUAUCCUUCAUUGGGCCAAGCCAAUGGAAGUCAGAAGACGAGGAGUCCACUCGGUUGAUGAGUGUGUCUGCACUCCAACAGAGACGUUCCACUGAAUAACGACACAUUUGUGAUCUGCCUCAGUCACCUCCGACGAGAGUGUUCAUAUGUUCCAGCAUUGCAGGAGUCACAGCUGUUUUUGGCCAGCCAGCACAUGUCUCAGUAGACAUUCUGCAAGCACCUACGAAAAUCUGUGAUACUCAGGUUUUCCACCUAAGGAAACUCAAUGGCACUCUCGGUGUGGAAUACAUCUCUAUUACAGACACCAGUUUGAAUGCUACUUUUAUGGCCAUCAAUUAUAAUCGUGAAACUACAUGAUCUGAAGCGGACAUAUUCCAAGAUGUACCCUAACAAAUUCCUCAUUUUUUCAACUGAAAUUGACCAAGGAAA
RNA transcript from Schistocerca gregaria, 4985 nucleotides. It is a transcript of the gene named josephin-1, with no coding region annotated. Lineage: Eukaryota; Metazoa; Arthropoda; Insecta; Orthoptera; Acrididae. The transcript is spliced from 2 exons. The record is from RefSeq and is a predicted model, not a curated record.